GGACUACCGGGGUAUCUAAUCCUGUUUGCUACCCACGCUUUCGUGUCUCAGCGUCAGUUACGGUCCAGAGAGCCGUCUACACCACAGGUAUUCCUCCUGAUAUCUACGCAUUUCACCGCUACACCAGGAAUUCUACUCUCCCAUCCCGUACUCUAGCCCUGCAGUCUUUAGCGCACCCUCCCGGUUAAGCCGGGAGAUUUCACACCAAACUUACAAAGCCGCCUACACACCCUUUACGCCCAGUAACUCCGAACAACGCUCGCUGCCUACGUAUUACCGCGGCUGCUGGCAC
RNAcentral lists this ribosomal RNA (292 nucleotides) under uncultured Acidobacteriota bacterium. Its description in RNAcentral is "uncultured Acidobacteria bacterium partial 16S ribosomal RNA". Lineage: Bacteria; Pseudomonadati; Acidobacteriota. The record is from RNAcentral.